Molecule: long non-coding RNA, 388 nt
Organism: Heterocephalus glaber (naked mole-rat)
Lineage: Eukaryota; Metazoa; Chordata; Mammalia; Rodentia; Bathyergidae
Source: RefSeq, a predicted model, not a curated record
GCGGGCGCGGGACGGAGAGGCUCGGCACCGGCUCCCGCCGGCCGGUAAGCCCCACAGCCCCGUGCGGGUCGGGGCUGCCCGCACCCCCUCUCACCCCAUGCCACCGCGCCGCUCCUGCCGAGGCAGCAACACUUUGGGCAAGUGAUCUCUACAGCCAGAGAGGAGCAUUUGGCAGCUGGAGCCCUUGGGGAAACCAUGAAGUAACCCUGCAAUUCCAGUAACAGUUAUGACAAAACAGAGCCCACGGAAUGAUCACAUUAAAAAAAAAAUUUACAAAGAAAAAUACCAGAAACAAAAACGCACAUAACAAUUCAAGGCUUCUCAAAAGAAAAAAAAAAAGACAAUGAAGAAGAAAGUAACUUACCUGUUGGGACAUUCUGAAUAAGAG